Molecule: ribosomal RNA, 461 nt
Filed under: Listeria monocytogenes
Lineage: Bacteria; Bacillati; Bacillota; Bacilli; Caryophanales; Listeriaceae
Description: bacterial SSU rRNA
Rfam family: Bacterial small subunit ribosomal RNA
Source: RNAcentral
GAAAGAUGGUUUCGGCUAUCGCUUACAGAUGGGCCCGCGGUGCAUUAGCUAGUUGGUAGGGUAAUGGCCUACCAAGGCAACGAUGCAUAGCCGACCUGAGAGGGUGAUCGGCCACACUGGGACUGAGACACGGCCCAGACUCCUACGGGAGGCAGCAGUAGGGAAUCUUCCGCAAUGGACGAAAGUCUGACGGAGCAACGCCGCGUGUAUGAAGAAGGUUUUCGGAUCGUAAAGUACUGUUGUUAGAGAAGAACAAGGAUAAGAGUAACUGCUUGUCCCUUGACGGUAUCUAACCAGAAAGCCACGGCUAACUACGUGCCAGCAGCCGCGGUAAUACGUAGGUGGCAAGCGUUGUCCGGAUUUAUUGGGCGUAAAGCGCGCGCAGGCGGUCUUUUAAGUCUGAUGUGAAAGCCCCCGGCUUAACCGGGGAGGGUCAUUGGAAACUGGAAGACUGGAGUGCA